CGGCCAUAGCAACAACAAAGGAAGAAAAGAAGAACAAAAACCCUAGAGUGAAAAUUCAAGAGAAAAUUGGUAGAUUUCAAGUAAUCAAGCAAUCAAAGGUAAAAUUUCUUGAUUUUGACUUGUGAUCUACCUUUCCCAUGCAUUCUUUUGCAUUUUCCAUGGUUGCAUCAUAUGAUUUCGUGAUGGGUAUCUUGCUGAUCAAACCCUAGGAGAGAGAAUUUGAUGAUGAUUUAAAUAGAUUUUUAAGAUAUAUGGAUGUUUUUAGUUGUUUAUGGUGUUAAGUGUAAGAAUUAAGCUUGAAAUUCACAUAUUCCUCAUGAGUUCAUCAUAGGCCAAAUCUUCCUUGUAGAGUGUUGAUGGUGGAUUUGAUUUUAUUUCAAGUGAAUUGGUUAGGAAAUGAUGAAUUAUGGUGAGAAAAUCAAGUAAGAAAAAUCAUAGUGUUGAUGCACCCACCAUGGCCGAAAUUCUCAAGAGAAAAUGUGAAGAUGAUUUUACUAAAUUUUAUGCUAUUUGACUUGUGUUUGAUGGUUUGGAGAAUUGGAAGAAAAAUGGAGUUGAUUAGUGUUGAAUUGGACAUAUUGGCCAAUUCAUUGGGUGAUAGAUCAAAUUAGGCCAAUACCGUUUUAUUUAGGUACAUAAUUGAAAUUGUGUAGAAUACCGUGUUUAGACGAUAAUCCGAACAAUUUGCAUUCCAUUUCAUGCAUUAGUAAAGAGCCUGAAAUAGAUUUUAUAAUGGUAUGACACAGUAUAUUGAAUUAUGUGUCGUGUAUUGUAUAUAGGUGGUGAGCUCUCUAACAAGGGUAAAGACGUUGCGUCAGAGGACUGAGAAUAGGAGUAUUUUAAACUCCUGACAUUGUGAGUAACCUUAUUAUCGUCUUAAUUAUCUAAAGUAUGUUUUUAUCCAAUUUUGUAAUUUCAUGAAAAAUGAGUUUAAAUAGUAAAUCUUUAUGUUUUAUAAACAAAAUGAGUUUAAAUGAAAUGAUUUUAUAAAUUGUCUUGAAAUUGAAUGAUGGCUUGGAAAAUAGAGUAAUUGGAGACCACUUAAUUGUGUUGUAAAUUUUUGGUUCUAAUUGAUUGGCUUAUGGCAAUAUUGGCAUGAAUGGUUGAAUUUCUAAAUGUGUUGAAAAUAUAUGAACUAUUGAUUUGCGUUGAGAGGCUGUAAAAUAAGAUAAUUGCCAUGUCAUGCUAUUGCAAAUUUUAUUGUAUGGUGGGUUUAGCUUGCUGCAGUGGGCGGGUUUCUGUGGACCAGCUUAUUAGAGGGGCAUGGUAAAACCCUUCAUAUUUUACCUCGGUUGGAGAGGCGUGUAGGGUAACUCCCGAGGUACAAUUUUAGAGUUCACUUCAUGCCAAACCACCACAUGAGGGUGAACUCAGCCAACGCCAAGGAAUGACUAUGUUUUCAAAUAAAAACAUGAUUUAUGCGUACAUAACUUUUUAAUAGCCUUGGUGGAUUCGGUUUGGGAUAGCCCUCGGCCAAGGUAUCCCUGACAACUGAGUAUGAGAAUAAUUUUGGCACAAGCCAAGUUUUUAAGAAAUUUAUAAGCCAUUUGAUUACUCGAUUUUUACAAAUUGAUUUUAUAUGGUUGAAAUGAGUUGAAAGGUGAUGAAUUUUAGUAUAAUGGUCUAUUUUAUCUGUCUCCAUUUACUCAACUUUAGAUAUUUUGGAUGAUGUUUGUUUACUCACUGGGAUUAUAUAAUCUCACCAACCUCCUUUCCACCCCUUUCAGGCUUAGGAUAGUCGGUAGAUAGCUCAUUUCAUCGAGAGCUACCAUUGGAUUUGCAUCCCCCAAAAACUGUAGGUUUACCGUUUGUCAUGACCCGGAACCUCCUUUGGGCCCAUGACAACGGCACGACAUCCUGAUUGAUACUCAUUACCCGAAAUACCAAUCGAAACUCCGCAAGGCUUUCAUAUCAGUUUUAAACAAUUUUCAGUCGUUUUCGGCUCAAGUAAAUCAAAAGACAAAAAUAUAGCAUUUUUAUAUAAAACAAUAUUUAUAGAAACACGUGUAAGUAAUUUUUUGUAACUUAGAAGUAAA
This 2036-nucleotide long non-coding RNA is filed under the name Theobroma cacao (cacao). RNAcentral's name for it is "long non-coding RNA (TCAC_LNC003867)". Lineage: Eukaryota; Viridiplantae; Streptophyta; Magnoliopsida; Malvales; Malvaceae. The record is from RNAcentral.